This 540-nucleotide ribosomal RNA is filed under the name uncultured bacterium. RNAcentral's name for it is "bacterial SSU rRNA". It matches the Rfam family "Bacterial small subunit ribosomal RNA", at positions 8 to 526 of the family's 1533-position model. The record is from RNAcentral.
AGAGUUUGAUCAUGGCUCAGAGCGAACGUUGGCGGCGCGCUUAACACAUGCAAGUCGCACGAGAAAAGGGGCAACCCUGAGUAGAGUGGCGCACGGGUGCGUAACACGUAGGCAAUCUUCCCUCAGGAGGGGGAUAACCAUCCGAAAGGAUGGCUAAUACCGCGUAAGACCACAGCUGCUUCGGCAGCAGGGGUCAAAGGGGGCCUCUCCAUGGAAGCUCUCACCUGAGGACGAGCCUGCGGCCCAUCAGCUAGUUGGUAGGGUAAUGGCCUACCAAGGCUAAGACGGGUAGCUGGUCUGAGAGGAUGAUCAGCCACACUGGCACUGAAACACGGGCCAGACUCCUACGGGAGGCAGCAGUGGGGAAUAUUGGACAAUGGGCGAAAGCCUGAUCCAGCGACGCCGCGUGGGUGAUGAAGGCCUUCGGGUUGUAAAGCCCUGUGGGCAGGGAAGAAAACGUUGCGGUCAAAUAGGCCGCGACCUUGACGGUACCUGCUCAGAAAGCACCGGCUAACUCUGUGCCAGCAGCCGCGGUAAUAC